This is an RNA transcript of Homo sapiens (human), 548 nucleotides long. It is a transcript of the gene named neurobeachin pseudogene 1, with no coding region annotated. The record is from RefSeq and is marked validated. Lineage: Eukaryota; Metazoa; Chordata; Mammalia; Primates; Hominidae. The transcript is spliced from 3 exons.
GUCUCCGCUCGUCGCCCGGCUCGGCGUCGGGAGUGCACUCUGUGUGGCCGCUGCUGCAGUGUUGUUGUGGUUGUGAGAAGGCGGCGGCGGCGGCGGAGUAGCAGCCGGACCAGACGCCCUAGUAGCUCAGUCGCUGCCCUGCGCCGGGCCUGGCAGGGAGCCUGGUGAGAUGGUGGAGGAGGAGGCUGUGCCGUGGCGGGCCUUGCCAUGUCCUGCUGCCUGUCAUCAAGAGUUCAUAUAACUAGACCUGUCUUGGAGCAAUUUUUAUCUUUUGCAAAAUACCUUGAUGGUUUAUCUCAUGGAGUACCUUUGCUGAAGCAGCUUUGUGAUCAUAUUUUGUUUAUUAACCCAGCCAUCUGGAUACAUACACCUGCAAAGGUUCAACUUUCCCUAUAUACAUAUUUGUCUGCUGAAUUUAUUGGAACUGCUACCAUCUACACCACCAUAUGCAGAAUAGGAACAGUUAUUAAAGAUAAUGCACACCUUAAAAUAUUACUACUGGGUUAUUAAUCCUGCUGACAGUAGUGGCAUUACACCUAAAGGAUUAG